UAGCAUUGGUAUGCGCGAAAUAACGCUUCCAACGCAUUGAAAAGGUCCUUCGACCGUUGGGCAGUGGGAAGUCUGAAGAUUCUCAUUCAUGGCCAUUAAUCAUGCUUCGUUACCCUCUAUAGUUUCAAACCUUAAAGUUUUCUUUGCACAGAACCAACACCAAACGAAACUCACUACCAAAGAAUAUCCAAAAUCAACACACCAAAUCCAUGAUAUAUUCUGUUCAGGAUCUCAACUUAACAUAAUCAAAAUGGAGCAAGCAAGAUGAACAUCAAAUCAACCAGACUAGAAGAGAAAUUUCAGAUAUAAACAAUCAUGGUUGUUAAGCUAAUAUGAAGCAUAUGAGCAAAGAUUUGAAGAGGAAAAGAACAAACUGAACCUUAACGGAAAACACACGUUUCCGGCGAGCGUGAGGGACGGAACCUGAUCUUGGUAAGACGCUUUCUCUCCUUCUUUUCCUUGCGAGUCGUCUCUUCCCUUUCUUCUUUAUCAAUCUUGCGUUGCUUCUAUCGUGCAAUGGCUUAGCUCGGAUUACUCAAAGUUUUAAGGAUAAACUUUGAGCACCCAUUUGGUACCUUUGAGCUUUGGUGCGGUUUGUGAUAGGAUUUCGGCAGGAAUAACGGUACCGCAAAAAUCUCUUCCUCUUGCAAUGAUUGGUGGCCUUUAUAUAGAGUCUUUAGGUACGAGGUUUCUUUCCUCGUCACCCCCUAUGAGCUGGCGAGCGGAUCAAGAUUUUUCCGUUAGGGAAAAUCUCUCACAGAUUCUGCGUGGUCCCUCCAAACGGAAGUGGUCCCAAAGUGAAGGUAUUAAGCAAUUGGUUUUGUCUUUAGCGGAAGCUUCAAAGGUGUGACCCAUUCUGCUGAUUCCUUCCUUAAACCUUCGAUGCAGUAAAAUGCAUGCUUGCUUGUGGUCGCAACGCGACUUUAGGUUCAUGGUUUCCCAGAUUGUAGUCACUAACUAGCAAGUAACUGGUGUAAUUUGGAAGGAACUCGAAUUUCCUAUGUAUCAUGAUCCAGAGAUCUUAUGACUUGUUAAGAAUGCGGGGAAAGAAGAUGCCGGUUUCGGUGUUGUUGCAAAUACAAUGCCUGUUAGUAGGGUCACCAAGUUUUGGCAUGAAAUCUCCUAGAAUGAUUUUUCGUCUUUCUCGUAUAAGUUUUAUAAUCUCUUUGAGAAUGACUUUUACUAUCUGUUUCCCUUUCUUGAAUUCUGCAGGUUUCGCUUGUAAUACCACGCUUAGCGUUUCUUGAGGUGUGUCAAAAACGAAAGGUGUGUGGAGUUGUCAUGGUCAAGAGGCAUGGCGUCUUAAACUUAAGUACUUUUGUAACGUUAUCCAAUCUGCGGCUUGGUGUAAACCGUGAGGUUGAACUCGGCUGCAUCUUUCCGUCGUUGCGACAUCGUUACUUGCUGCUGGAAGCGUCGAGAAUGUUGCCGGUAACGGCUUUGAUUUAUCUUAUUGGACGAUAGGUUGGAGCUAAUUUCCUUUACUGCUUUCAAUCAAUCUCUUCAUCAGCAGAGGGGCUUACUCCAGGUUCUACGGGUGUUGCAGCGUAUGACCUUGCAGUUUGGCACAUCAGGAGGUUGUGGUUUUGGCGUUUGUAAUUUAGGCCUUAGGAUUUAUCAUAACUGACUGCACUGAAGUGUUUUUUGAAACACUUAUGUUUGUAGAUUUAGAACUUAUGGUUCCACUAAUGUAAUUUCAAGCUUAGCAACUCAAACCACAUGAUGUUUAUAUGUGAAAUCUAAUUGGAAAAUUGGCUUGCUAUUUAUUUGUUCACUCUGUCCAUGCUUUGGCAACUUUCUGGCAGAUUAUGUAUUCAUGGAAAUAGACAAAAGCGACCACAUUUUGUAAUGAUUUGAAAUGUAUUGAUUGUAAUUGAAGCAGGUGUUUAUACAUGCUGUAUUUGUAAAUGAAAGUAUGAUUUGGUAAAUGACCCAUGCUUAUUUUGAAAUCCCCAACAAUUAGUUGCAACGAGAAAUACUAGCGGACCAAGGACGGUUUAUGAAGGUGUGAGAAGAGGAAUUAUGGUUCUUGAGUUGUAACAUAAUUAAGUUGACUUUGGUUGAAAGUUCAUUUUUUUGUAUUUUCUUCAUGUACGGAGACUUAUAUAUAAUGAAUAACACUUAGUGCUUGAAAUGAACUUACACUUUGGAUUUUCUAUA
Lathyrus oleraceus (garden pea) is the source of this 2160-nucleotide RNA transcript. RefSeq lists it as uncharacterized. The transcript has 7 exons. NCBI's taxonomy places the organism in Eukaryota, Viridiplantae, Streptophyta, Magnoliopsida, Fabales, Fabaceae. The record is from RefSeq and is a predicted model, not a curated record.